Nothoprocta perdicaria is the source of this 760-nucleotide long non-coding RNA. RefSeq lists it as uncharacterized. Lineage: Eukaryota; Metazoa; Chordata; Aves; Tinamiformes; Tinamidae. The record is from RefSeq and is a predicted model, not a curated record. The transcript has 3 exons.
GUGCAGAUGAAACAGACCAUUAACAUGCUCGAGCAUGUAGUGUACCAAGGGAUGUAGAUGGUGAAUGAUUUAAUAGUCGCAUCCAAGUCUACCCCUCCUGGGUUUUGCUUGAUGGAUGUCAGAAGACUGACUAUACUGAAAAUCCUUGUGGUGCUGUUCAGGUCCUUACCCCUCAACUACUUCAGGGAUAUUUACUGGAUUUUUGGGAGUUUGCCUAGUUCUUGCAGAGGAUACUGCAGGCAGAGCUGACCUUAACGGGACACGGACUUUGCUCGAAGGUCUCUGGGCACCCACAGCUGUCAGUCAAUUCCACAGGGACUUCCAGAAUUUCACGUGCAGCCUAAGCAGCUAUAUUAAGGUCAGUGACAACCUUGCCUGCUCCUUCUGCCUCUGAUAUAAAGCGUGUACUUGCUAUGGAGAGAUGGAUGCAAUAUUCUUAUUCCCACUGGACUGGCUUCUUAGCAAUUAUUACAGCCAUUUGCUGUAGGGAAUAAGGACUGUAAAACCUCACCUGGAGAAAACUUCCCCUUAAAAUAUCCCUCUGUUCUGUGAAAUGACCUUGUGAGAAUAAUGUGGAGCUUGAGAUGGACGGAAAUUGUUCUGUUAGAACAGAGUUGUUUAGCAGGUUUUAGGUUAAUAUCAUUAAUGCGUUUUAGUCUGGUUAUAUGAGGCUAAAGUGCAACCACCAAAUUCUUCUCGUCAGCUCUGCAAGGAGUCUGGCAGAAAACAGUCUGUUUUAUUUCUGGCCUGUGAAUCAUGA